RNAcentral lists this ribosomal RNA (492 nucleotides) under uncultured bacterium. RNAcentral's name for it is "partial 16S ribosomal RNA". It matches the Rfam family "Bacterial small subunit ribosomal RNA", at positions 29 to 507 of the family's 1533-position model. The record is from RNAcentral.
AGUGAACGCUGGCGGUAGGCCUAACACAUGCAAGUCGAACGGCAGCACAGUAAGAGCUUGCUCUUACGGGUGGCGAGUGGCGGACGGGUGAGGAAUACAUCGGAAUCUACUUUUUCGUGGGGGAUAACGUAGGGAAACUUACGCUAAUACCGCAUACGACCUACGGGUGAAAGCAGGGGAUCUUCGGACCUUGCGCGAUUGAAUGAGCCGAUGUCGGAUUAGCUAGUUGGCGGGGUAAAGGCCCACCAAGGCGACGAUCCGUAGCUGGUCUGAGAGGAUGAUCAGCCACACUGGAACUGAGACACGGUCCAGACUCCUACGGGAGGCAGCAGUGGGGAAUAUUGGACAAUGAGCGCAAGCCUGAUCCAGCCAUACCGCGUGGGUGAAGAAGGCCUUCGGGUUGUAAAGCCCUUUUGUCGGGAAAGAAAAGCAGCAGGUUAAUACCCCGCUGUUCUGACGGUACCCAAAGAAUAAGCACCGGCUAACUUCGUG